AAUGCACCGAUUUGUAAGUCGCUCUGGAUAAGAGUGUCUGCUAAAUGACUCUUC
Salmo salar (Atlantic salmon) is the source of this 54-nucleotide non-coding RNA. NCBI's taxonomy places the organism in Eukaryota, Metazoa, Chordata, Actinopteri, Salmoniformes, Salmonidae. The record is from Rfam.